This 861-nucleotide ribosomal RNA is filed under the name uncultured Clostridia bacterium. RNAcentral's name for it is "bacterial SSU rRNA". It matches the Rfam family "Bacterial small subunit ribosomal RNA", at positions 28 to 896 of the family's 1533-position model. The record is from RNAcentral. Lineage: Bacteria; Bacillati; Bacillota; Clostridia.
GACGAACGCUGGCGGCGCGCUUAACACAUGCAAGUCGAGCGAUGAAAUCUUGACAGAACCCUUCGGGGCGAAGAUAAGAUGGAUUAGCGGCGGACGGGUGAGUAACACGUGAGUAACCUGCCUUAGACAUUGGGAUAGCCUCGGGAAACCGGGAUUAAUACCAAAUGAAAUCACAUAUGCACAUGCAUAAAUGAUCAAAGCUCCGGCGGUCUAAGAUGGACUCGCGUCCCAUUAGCUAGUUGGUGAGGUAACGGCCCACCAAGGCGACGAUGGGUAGCCGGCCUGAGAGGGUGAACGGCCACAUUGGAACUGAGAAACGGUCCAAACUCCUACGGGAGGCAGCAGUGGGGAAUAUUGCACAAUGGAGGGAACUCUGAUGCAGCGACGCCGCGUGAACGAAGAAGGCUUUCGAGUCGUAAAGUUCUUUUAUAUGGGAAGAUAAUGACGGUACCAUAAGAAAAAGCCCCGGCUAACUACGUGCCAGCAGCCGCGGUAAUACGUAGGGGGCUAGCGUUGUCCGGAAUCACUGGGCGUAAAGGGUUCGCAGGCGGAAAUGCAAGUCAGGUGUAAAAGGCAGUAGCUUAACUACUGUAAGCAUUUGAAACUGCAUAUCUUGAGAAGAGUAGAGGUAAGUGGAAUUUUUAGUGUAGCGGUGAAAUGCGUAGAUAUUAAAAAGAAUACCGGUGGCGAAGGCGACUUACUGGGCUCAUUCUGACGCUGAGGAACGAAAGCGUGGGUAGCAAACAGGAUUAGAUACCCUGGUAGUCCACGCUGUAAACGAUGAGUGCUAGGUAUCGGAAUAAUUCGGUGCCGCAGUUAACACAUUAAGCACUCCGCCUGGGGAGUACGUGCGCAAGCAUG